UAGGGAAUCUUCCACAAUGGACGCAAGUCUGAUGGAGCAACGCCGCGUGAGUGAAGAAGGUUUUCGGAUCGUAAAGCUCUGUUGUUGGUGAAGAAGGAUAGAGGCAGUAACUGGUCUUUAUUUGACGGUAAUCAACCAGAAAGUCACGGCUAACUACGUGCCAGCAGCCGCGGUAAUACGUAGGUGGCAAGCGUUGUCCGGAUUUAUUGGGCGUAAAGCGAGCGCAGGCGGAAUGAUAAGUCUGAUGUGAAAGCCCACGGCUCAACCGUGGAACUGCAUCGGAAACUGUAAUUCUUGAGGGCAGAAGAGGAGAGUGGAAUUUCAUGUGGAGCGGGGGAAUGCGUAGAUAAAUGGAAGAACACCAGUGGCGAAGGCGGCUCUCUGGUCUGCAACUGACGCUGAGGCUCGAAAGCAUGGGUAGCGAACAGG
This 429-nucleotide ribosomal RNA is filed under the name bacterium. Its description in RNAcentral is "partial 16S ribosomal RNA". It matches the Rfam family "Bacterial small subunit ribosomal RNA", at positions 355 to 776 of the family's 1533-position model. The record is from RNAcentral.